Molecule: long non-coding RNA, 644 nt
Filed under: Bos indicus x Bos taurus (hybrid cattle)
Lineage: Eukaryota; Metazoa; Chordata; Mammalia; Artiodactyla; Bovidae
Description: lncRNA (ENSBIXG00005022123.1)
Source: RNAcentral
CCAGAAACCACCAUGGGUUUGCCUGCGUCUUCCUGCUGCAAGAGGUGAGGAGUGUUCAGCUUUCCUUUCUCAUGGGAGCUGUUGACCCUCAUCUGACCUUUGUGAUGGCUGAAAAAUGAAGAGGUAGGAGCGUAGAGAGGGGAGAUGAGAGGGGAAAUGUUUAUCAAAUGUGAAUACAGGCACCUCUAUUGUAAGAAAAACCAACAUAGUUUCCACUAUUUAAAGGUCAUAAACUUUGGGCCUGUGGAAUAUUCUCCUGGACGUUUCAAUUUUUAAAAAGCACUAUUUUUUUUUUUUUUUUUUAUGAACAGGAAAAUGGAGACUCUCUUCUCAAGACAGUAAAAAUAAAUUUCUCUGGUUAUAUAGGUUAUUGGGGAGCCAAAGAAGGAAGUCAACGCAAAUAUGCGAUGUCAUUGAAGCCAAUUCAUCGUUUUGUUUGGUUGAUGAAUGAGCAUUGCCUCGGUCAUCAAUAACAAUACAUGUUUAUCAAGUGCUUGCUGAGUGCCAGAGCCUGUGCUAAGUAUAAUGCUUGACACCUCCUUCAGCAGAAACCCAUGAGGGAUGUGGUGCCACCACCAGCUAACAAGUAAGUAUGUGAAAUGAAGCCCUGCCUGGGCCCAGAGCUGGGGUGGCCUGGGUCUGUA